AACGAACGCUGGCGGCGUGCCUAACACAUGCAAGUCGGAUGUGCCGCAAGGUGCAUGGCAGACGGGUGAGUAACGCGUAGGGAAUCUACCUUUUGUGGGGAAUAACGCCCCGAAAGGAGUGGUAAUACCGCAUGAGACCGUGACCUGGGAUGGUUACGGUGAAACCUGGGGACCGCAAGGCCUGGGGCAAAAAAGAGGAUCCUGCGUCUGAUUAGCUAGUUGGCGGGGUAAUGGCCCACCAAGGCGACGAUCAGUAGCCGGCCUGAGAGGGUGAUCGGCCACACUGGAACUGAGACACGGUCCAGACUCCUACGGGAGGCAGCAGUGGGGAAUUUUGCGCAAUGGACGAAAGUCUGACGCAGCAACGCCGCGUGGGUGAUGAAGGUCUUCGGACUGUAAAACCCUGUCGUCAGGGACGAAGGUGGCAGUGUUAAUAGCGCUGUUACUUGACGGUACCUGGAGAGGAAGCCCCGGCUAACUCUGUGCCAGCAGCCGCGGU
Molecule: ribosomal RNA, 499 nt
Filed under: uncultured bacterium
Lineage: Bacteria
Description: bacterial SSU rRNA
Rfam family: Bacterial small subunit ribosomal RNA
Source: RNAcentral